Molecule: ribosomal RNA, 482 nt
Filed under: uncultured bacterium
Lineage: Bacteria
Description: bacterial SSU rRNA
Rfam family: Bacterial small subunit ribosomal RNA
Source: RNAcentral
GACGAACGCUGGCGGCGUGCUUAACACAUGCAAGUCAAGGGGCCGCAAGGUAACCGGCGAACGGGUGCGUAACACGUGAGCAAUCUGCCUAGAUGUGGGGGAUAGCCGGCCCAACGGCCGGGUAAUACCGCAUACGCUCGUCGACUGGCAUCAGUUGACGAGGAAACUUUCGAGGCAUCUAGAGGAGCUCGCGGCCUAUCAGCUAGUUGGUGGGGUAACGGCCUACCAAGGCGGUGACGGGUAGCUGGUCUGAGAGGAUGGCCAGCCACAUUGGGACUGAGAUACGGCCCAGACUCCUACGGGAGGCAGCAGUGGGGGAAUAUUGCGCAAUGGCCGAAAGGCUGACGCAGCGACGCCGCGUGGGGGAUGAAGCAUUUCGGUGUGUAAACCCCUGUUGCUCGGGACGAACAAGCCUUUUCGAGGGCUCUGACGGUACCGAGUGAGGAAGCACCGGCUAACUCCGUGCCAGCAGCCGCGGUAAU